This 848-nucleotide ribosomal RNA is filed under the name uncultured bacterium. RNAcentral describes it as "bacterial SSU rRNA". It matches the Rfam family "Bacterial small subunit ribosomal RNA", at positions 30 to 877 of the family's 1533-position model. The record is from RNAcentral.
CGAACGCUGGCGGCGUGCUUAACACAUGCAAGUCGAGCGGGGAUUAAUUGUGGAAGGUUUCGGCUGGAAGCGAUUAAUUCUAGCGGCGGACGGGUGAGUAACGCGUGAGCAAUCUGUCCAUACAGGGGGAUAACACUUGGAAACAGGUGCUAAUACCGCAUAAGACCACGAGGUCGCAUGGCCAUGAGGUAAAAGAUUUAUCGGUAUGGGGUGAGCUCGCGUCCCAUUAGCUAGUUGGUGAGGUAACGGCCCACCAAGGCGACGAUGGGUAGCCGACCUGAGAGGGUGAUCGGCCACAUUGGAACUGAGACACGGUCCAGACUCCUACGGGAGGCAGCAGUGGGGAAUAUUGGGCAAUGGGCGCAAGCCUGACCCAGCAACGCCGCGUGAAGGAAGAAGGUUUUCGGAUUGUAAACUUCUGUCCUUGGUGACGAAGAAAAUGACGGUAGCCAAGGAGGAAGCCCCGGCUAACUACGUGCCAGCAGCCGCGGUAAUACGUAGGGGGCGAGCGUUGUCCGGAAUGACUGGGCGUAAAGGGCGUGUAGGCGGCUUUUUAAGUGUGAAGUGAAAGUCCUGCUUUCAAGGUGGGAACUGCUUUGCAAACUGGAGAGCUUGAGUGCGGAAGAGGUAAGUGGAAUUCCCAGUGUAGCGGUGAAAUGCGUAGAGAUUGGGAGGAACACCAGUGGCGAAGGCGACUUACUGGGCCGUAACUGACGCUGAGGCGCGAAAGCGUGGGGAGCGAACAGGAUUAGAUACCCUGGUAGUCCACGCUGUAAACGAUGAAUGCUAAGUGUAGCGGGUAUCGACCCCUGCUGUGCCGCAGUAACACAAUAAGCAUUCCGCCUGGG